Molecule: long non-coding RNA, 371 nt
Organism: Wasmannia auropunctata (little fire ant)
Lineage: Eukaryota; Metazoa; Arthropoda; Insecta; Hymenoptera; Formicidae
Exons: 3
Source: RefSeq, a predicted model, not a curated record
CGGCGGACGUUACACCCCCCUCCUUAAGAUGGUAAAUAGCGGGUGAAGCACGUUAUUUACAUAUACAUAUUAAACACGGCAGGUUAUAGUAUAUUCGAUAUUGACUGAGCGAUGGAUAAGCAGAAAGUUCACGCACUAGCAGCAAGUGACAGUUUAUAGGUUAGAUCGUCCAUUUAGCACAAGGAGUCUCACCACAGAAUUCACGCACGAUCACAGGCACCAGGUUCAAUCAUGGAACUCUCUGCAGUUGGAGCAUCGUGGGCGUUCGAGGUUGCUGCAGCCGAUAGGAAUUGCAGGGGCAGAUGCAGUUCUCUCGAGGUCGUCCGUGUUGAUAGCCAAAGUCGGAUACAGGGGGUCAACAGAUUGGGUCG